RNAcentral lists this small nuclear RNA (308 nucleotides) under Meriones unguiculatus (Mongolian gerbil). RNAcentral describes it as "7SK RNA (ENSMUGG00000001731.1)". It matches the Rfam family "7SK RNA". Rfam says of the family: 7SK was discovered as an abundant small nuclear RNA in the mid-70s but a possible function has only recently been suggested. Two independent studies have found that 7SK RNA binds the CDK9/cyclin T complex (known as elongation factor P-TEFb). Lineage: Eukaryota; Metazoa; Chordata; Mammalia; Rodentia; Muridae. The record is from RNAcentral.
GGACAAUUGGGCAUUCUGGUUGGGAAGUCUGUCAUCCCACCCCAUUGAUUGUCAGGACUGAUUCAGCUCAUCUGGCUGGCUAGCCUAGUGUUCUCUAUCUCCCUUACUGUCCCAUAGAUGUCCCUCCCAGAAAUUCAUACUGGGUUAAGUAAGAAAACCUUCCGAAAUUGAAGGGGACCAUGCUUUGGUCAGGAUGAGAAGCUGAGGUCUGCUACUAAAACCUGCUAACAAAAUCUCUGGGGUCAGAGGUCCUCCUCCCUUUCCAUCUGACCCCAGAUUAUCAGGUCUCAUCUGGACUGUCUGCAUUG